GGAGUUAGCCGGUGCUUCUUCUGUGAGUGAUGUCCUUCCUGCCGGUUAUUGACCCGCAGGCCUUCUUCCUCACUGAAAGUGCUUUACAACCCGAAGGCCUUCUUCACACACGCGGCAUGGCUGGAUCAGGGUUGCCCCCAUUGUCCAAUAUUCCCCACUGCUGCCUCCCGUAGGAGUCUGGGCCGUGUCUCAGUCCCAGUGUGGCUGAUCAUCCUCUCAGACCAGCUACGGAUCGUCGCCUUGGUGAGCCGUUACCUCACCAACCAGCUAAUCCGACAUAGGCUCAUCCGAUAGCGCGAGGCCCGAAGGUCCCCCGCUUUCCCCCGUAGGGCGUAUGCGGUAUUAGCCUGGGUUUCCCCAGGUUAUCCCCCACUACCGGGCAGAUUCCUAUGCAUUACUCACCCGUCCGCCGCUCGCCACCAGGGAGCAAGCUCCCCGUGCUGCCGCUCGACUUGCNUGUGUAGCGUCGCCGCCACGCGUCAUCUGAGCGAGACUACAACUACUGA
Molecule: ribosomal RNA, 506 nt
Filed under: uncultured bacterium
Lineage: Bacteria
Description: partial 16S ribosomal RNA
Source: RNAcentral